UUCUCGGGUGCUAUCUAUAUGCACUUCAACCUGUAUGUCUGCAGAAGUAAAAUUUUCAGCCAGGUUUGACUUGAAAAAGUAGUCUGUGAUAAAUACCUGUGGCUUGGCAAGAAGCAGCACAUCACGAUGGAUACCAGAUAACCACCAAUGAUCUUGAUCUUCAAGGUAAGACCCAUCACACCAUCUUAGAACUUGAACAGCCAGAACAUUAUUUUUGCCGGAAUCAUAUGGAUAACAGUAAUCUGUGAUUUCAAACUCUGCAGGUAGCCUACUAUCCUGACUAUAUCCCACAGGCACACCAUUUAUCCAAGCACAAAAUGCAGAAUCAACAGCUUCAAAGUGCAGUAAAAUCCUACGACCCUGCCAUUCUUUAGGAAUUUGGAAGCAUGUUCUAUAGCAGCCAGUAGGAUUAUCCUCAGGAACGUGUGGAGGAUCAAGUGGAAAUGGAUAUACCACAUUGGUAUAAAUGGGACGAUCAAACCCAUGUGUCUGCCAAUUUGAAGGAACUGGCAAAGUUUCCCAACCAGAGUCCUGAAAUGCCGGGUCAUAAAAUUUCAUAGGAAUUUUGGUAGGGCUUGGAGCCAAAAAAAAUUUCCAAAACCCAGACAAAGACUUGACAAAAGGCAAGUCCUUAGCCCAAAAAGCAGCAGAAUCAAGAGCUCCUUGAACAGCGUCAUCAUUCCAAACAGCAGACUUGGAUACCAAAACAUCCACUUUAUUUCGCUCGUACCAGUAUUUAAGAGAUCCUCCAACAGAUUCAUGGCAGUGUAAAGUGACAUGAGGAUCUCUCUUUCUCCACUUUAUAAAUGACGGAUCCUCCCAAACCCUGUGUCCACUUUCCAAUGGAGACAGCAUUUGUGCGCCGAGAGAUGACAUCCCACCAUAAAAACUACACUCAAACCACAAUCAAAGAUCAAUCUCAUAUACACACACAUACCCAGAAAGCAAGC
Molecule: unclassified non-coding RNA, 950 nt
Filed under: Hevea brasiliensis (rubber tree)
Lineage: Eukaryota; Viridiplantae; Streptophyta; Magnoliopsida; Malpighiales; Euphorbiaceae
Source: RNAcentral